UAUGGGUCGAUGAUCACCAUUGUUGAGAAUAUAGUAGAGAAGGUCCUUUUUGGUUGUUCGUAGCCACACACACAUCCAGUCUCUACGAAAAAUUCACUCGAAGCCCUGAUCUAAUCGAUCUUCUCAGGAGUGCUAGCUCGCGCGAAGACCUUCUUCUUGGCCGAUCUGGAUCUUUUUUUUAAAUCUCUGAAAUCUUUCUAGAGAUUGAAGAUGAACUUCUAGAGAAGAUAAAGAGGUGAAAGAAAUAUGGAGAAGAAAAUAAUUUUUUUCUAAUUUAUUUUCUCCUCUUAAAUCUUUAGAACCAAAAACUUAAAAUUCAAAUUUUUGUGCGCACCCCAAA
Molecule: long non-coding RNA, 340 nt
Filed under: Elaeis guineensis (African oil palm)
Lineage: Eukaryota; Viridiplantae; Streptophyta; Magnoliopsida; Arecales; Arecaceae
Description: long non-coding RNA (EGUI_LNC082937)
Source: RNAcentral